UUGGUGAAGCCGCGAAUGGCUCAUUACAACAGCCACUGUUUACUUGAUCUUGAUUAUCCUACUUGGAUAACUGUGGUAAUUCUAGAGCUAAUACACGCAAUAAAGCUCCGACCUUACGGGACGAGCGCAUUUAUUAGACCAAAACCAAUCGGGCCUCGGCCUGAACGGUGGUGACUCUGAAUAACUGAGCUGAUCGCAUGGUCUUUGUACCGGCGACGCAUCUUUCAAGUGUCUGCCUUAUCAACUUUCGAUGGUAGUUUAUGUGCCUACCAUGGUUGUUACGGGUAACGGAGAAUAAGGGUUCGACUCCGGAGAGGGAGCCUGAGAAACGGCUACCACAUCCAAGGAAGGCAGCAGGCGCGCAAAUUACCCACUCUCGGCACGAGGAGGUAGUGACGAAAAAUAACGAGGCGGUUCUCUAAGAGGCCCGCUAUCGGAAUGGGUACAAUUUAAA
This 454-nucleotide ribosomal RNA is filed under the name unidentified nematode Sourhope farm. RNAcentral's name for it is "SSU rRNA". It matches the Rfam family "Eukaryotic small subunit ribosomal RNA", at positions 78 to 529 of the family's 1831-position model. Lineage: Eukaryota; Metazoa; Nematoda. The record is from RNAcentral.